This 590-nucleotide ribosomal RNA is filed under the name Cytospora eucalypticola. RNAcentral describes it as "eukaryotic LSU rRNA". The stretch from base 152 to 305 matches the Rfam family "5.8S ribosomal RNA". The record is from RNAcentral. Lineage: Eukaryota; Fungi; Ascomycota; Sordariomycetes; Diaporthales; Cytosporaceae.
AUACCUACAUCGUUGCCUCGGCGCGCUGGCUUGCCUCUCCCUAACGGGAGGGGGCCCUCCCUCUGGGGGGACAGCGAGGCCACGCGCCGACGGCCCAUUAAACUCUUGUUUUUACCGAGUAACUUCUGAGUAAAGCUUCUAAAUGAAUCAAAACUUUCAACAACGGAUCUCUUGGUUCUGGCAUCGAUGAAGAACGCAGCGAAAUGCGAUAAGUAAUGUGAAUUGCAGAAUUCAGUGAAUCAUCGAAUCUUUGAACGCACAUUGCGCCCUCUGGUAUUCCAGAGGGCAUGCCUGUUCGAGCGUCAUUUCAACCCUCAAGCUCUGCUUGGUGUUGGGGCAUUACCCGGCCGCUUCUGCGGGACGGUAAGCCCUGAAAUUCAGUGGCGAGCUCGCCAGGACUCCGAGCGUAGUAGUUAAACCCUCGCUUUGGACUGUACUGGCGCGGCCUAGCCGUAAAACCCCCAACUUCUGAAAAUUUGACCUCGGAUCAGGUAGGAAUACCCGCUGAACUUAAGCAUAUCAUAGACCGGGAAGAAAAAUUACCUACGGAAAAAUUCUUCCACCGUAUUAUUAAUAUGCCGAACCUUAGU